RNAcentral lists this ribosomal RNA (447 nucleotides) under Triticum aestivum (bread wheat). Its description in RNAcentral is "partial small subunit ribosomal RNA". Lineage: Eukaryota; Viridiplantae; Streptophyta; Magnoliopsida; Poales; Poaceae. The record is from RNAcentral.
UCGACACGCUUGGUGAAGCAUACGACUUCUAUAAUUUAUAUUCAUGGGAAAAAGGCUUUGGCAUUCGGUAUGGAAAGAGGGAAGCCAAUUGUGGAGAACACGCGGUCUUGUCGCUGUCAGUGCCCCGCACUAGUAAGGCUGUUGCGUUCAAAGGAUAAUGGAUGGUACAUAGCGGAGCACCGGGAUGUGCACAGCCAUGCAUUGUCACACACAUAUGGACAGACACUCCAUUGGCCAUCGCACAAGCAUAUUAAUCAAUACAGUAGGGACCUUGUGAAGCAGCUGAGGCAAAAUAAUGUGAAUCUGGCAAAAGUGUACAGUAUCAUCAGAAGCUUCUUUGGGAAGAUGGAGAAUGUACCAUUCACGAAGAGGGCUCUGCGGAAUCUGUGUGGGAAGAUUAGCCGGGAACAGUCAGAAGACGAUGUGAGGAAAACAAUGGAAGUAUUC